This 693-nucleotide ribosomal RNA is filed under the name Steinernema sp. ePBI3.2_TH. Its description in RNAcentral is "partial large subunit ribosomal RNA". It matches the Rfam family "Eukaryotic large subunit ribosomal RNA", at positions 159 to 851 of the family's 3401-position model. Lineage: Eukaryota; Metazoa; Nematoda; Chromadorea; Rhabditida; Steinernematidae. The record is from RNAcentral.
GAGGCGUUCAUGUGCGGUUUGUUGAUGGUGCGAAUUCUCUUUGACUAGGGAUCCAAAGAGGGUGCUAGACCCUUACGCAUUGUUGACUUUUCGUACGCGUUCGUUUCUUGGAGUAGGGUUGUUUUGGAUCGCAGCCCAAAGUAGGUGGUAUACUUCAUCUAAAGCUAAAUACGACUACGAAUCCGAUAGCAAACAAGUACCGUGAGGGAAAGUUGCAAAGUACUUUGAAGAGAGAGUUCAAGAGGACGUGAAACCGGUAGGGUGGAAGCAGAUAAAGUUGACGAACGUGUGUCGUAUUCAGAACUACAAUUUGUGGUUUGUUUUUACGAUCGAUGUGGGCUGGCGUCUUUGGUUAACUUAGUGUCUGGCGGCAAUGGUGACCCUGCGGAGGGAUAAUCGGUUGUCGUGCGAUGCUUGGUAUGGCUAGAGGUUCGCUGGUCUUAUAGUCAUCGCUUUAUCUGACCCGUCUUGAAACACGGACCAAGGAGUGUACCGCUUACGCGAGUCUUAGAGUGUGUCAAAACUUUGAGGCGUAACGAAAGUAAAUGUGGAUUUAUUCACUGACUUGGGAUGCGUUGUCUUUUUUGGAUAGCGUUGGACCAUGGUUUUAUCGUAAUCGCUUGCGAUGCGGUGAAAAUAGAGCGUAAGCGGUGCGACCCGAAAGAUGGUGAACUAUGCCUGAGCAGGAUGAAG